RNAcentral lists this long non-coding RNA (1481 nucleotides) under Equus caballus (horse). RNAcentral's name for it is "lncRNA (ENSECAG00000052134.1)". The record is from RNAcentral. Lineage: Eukaryota; Metazoa; Chordata; Mammalia; Perissodactyla; Equidae.
CUAUCUUGGUGAAUACCAAAUCAGUUUAUCUUGCCCACACCUCCAUCUGAGCCUCAGUCUUUGAUACAUAACUCUCUACCUUAUAUCUCCACUUGAAUAUCCAGUAGACAUUUAAAAGUCAAUAUAUAAAAAAACUGAAUUAUUUUGGAUUGCUGGGAAGAAGGUGGCAUAGGAGGACUCUGAACUCACCUCCUCCCAUGGACACAACAGAUUUACAACUACUCUUGGAACAAUUACCUCUGAGAGAGAAUUGGAAAGUAGAUUUAAAAAAAAACCCACAAUAACAGACAGUGCUGACUCAGGUGGAAGAGGGAAAAAUAUCUUUCUGGAGAGGAAAAAAGCCACAUUGUAUCCCCAGUGCUUCACAGCUGGGAGUAAUCUUAGGCAUGAAGCUUUCCCUGGAGGAGCAGGGGAUCUGAGCAGGAGAGCUUUGCCACAAUAAGAAGCUUUUGAACUUGGCACAAUCAAGAUGAGUGUCAUAAUAGCUGGCUUCAUUUAUUCUGAAAGUAAAUUAUUUAAAUAUGGAGAAAAUUAUAAAUUACAUUAUUUCAAAGUGUUUUAGCUAAUGGAAAGGUGGUUUUCAAAAAGUCUCUGACAUCUAUUUUAGCCAAGCUAUUUUCUGACGUUCAAAAUAUAAAAUAAUAAAUUGUUCUCCUGAAAAUUAAUUCAUUUAUGUUUAAGUUAGAAGAAAAGAAGGAAAGCAUAUGGGACUCAGGUAAACAAUGGAGUGCUGGCCCAUGUCUGGUCAAUAGAGAAUCUACUGUGUCCUGUGUUACUCAUGAUUUGCAAAUUGAAAUCACCUAAUUGAAUUCCAAAUCAUCAAUACAAGUCCAAUAAAUCAUGUGAUGUUGAAUGGAAUAUUUCCUAAGGUUUAAAACAUGUAAUUAAGAAUAGUUUCAUAAAGUCCACUUAAAACAUGUUUGCAACAAAACUCAGCUCAUGCUCUGGAAAUAUUCUGAAUGAUUUCUGAUUAAAACCAUUCUGGCUGACUGCCAUAUCAAUUUAUGUUGAAUUGUUUUCCAUUACGUUCUAGCCUUCCAUCCUCUCAGUAAUUUUACAGGUAACAGAAUGUUCAAUGUGAAGGUGCAAUUUGAGCCACCUAGAUUCCAUAGAUAUGACAUUCUGAAGUAAAAUGAUAGACCUGAAGGAAAAAGAUUGUGAAAAGACUUGUUAGGAGAGUGCUGCUGUUGUCAAAAGGUACUAGUCUACUAAGGGAGAAGGAAAAGACUCUGAUGGGCACAAACAGAGACCAGUGGUAACACAGGUGGAUGACUGCUUGGGUAGCAUAACGAAAUUGGUCUUCGCGCCAUCUGGGACAUAAUAGUACUUCCUUCUGCAUGGGGGCCAACAUUUUCAGGCAAGUUUUUCUGUAUCAAAUGUGGAAUUCUUGGUAAAGUAUGCCUGUCUGUGGCCAACUGAUAUUCAGCACAAAAGGACCCUGUGGAAAAAGCAACAUAACUCUAAAUAUAACUGUCUAUGUG